RNAcentral lists this RNase P RNA (384 nucleotides) under Bacteroidales bacterium. Its description in RNAcentral is "RNase P RNA component class A". It matches the Rfam family "Bacterial RNase P class A". From Rfam's summary of the family: Ribonuclease P (RNase P) is a ubiquitous endoribonuclease, found in archaea, bacteria and eukarya as well as chloroplasts and mitochondria. Its best characterised activity is the generation of mature 5'-ends of tRNAs by cleaving the 5'-leader elements of precursor-tRNAs. Cellular RNase Ps are ribonucleoproteins. The record is from RNAcentral. Lineage: Bacteria; Pseudomonadati; Bacteroidota; Bacteroidia; Bacteroidales.
AUGGCCGGAGGGUCCGUCGCGCGACUUAUAUAUAAAGGUCGUGAGGAAAGUCCGGGCAACGCAGAGCACCAUAUUUGCUAACGGCAAGCUAUCGGUAACGGUAGAGUAAUGUGACAGAAAAUUACCGCCUCCACUCCGGUGGAGGUAAGGGUGAAAAGGUGAGGUAAGAGCUCACCGGGCGCUAUGGCGACAUAGUGUGCCGCACAUCUUAUGGGUUGCAAGGUCAAGUAUACCGGCAUUCAAGGGUUGCUCGCCCAUUGCCGGGGGGUAGACUGCGCAAAGGGGGCUCAGGCCCUUAGAUAAAUGACGGACGGAAGCCGACAACUCCCCCUCAGCGGGGAAAGUGCCGGUCCACAUAACCCGGCUUAUACUCCGACCAUACUU